UGUACCGAGUUGCUUGCAUGGUUCAAGCGCUGUACAUGGUGACAGACAUACAUUUUUCGAAGUACAGCGCAAGUACAGCUGUAUGUCUGUCAUAAGUAUUAGCUUUGGCGGAAAGCAGCGAUCGCAAAACAAUUCAUAACAAGUGUUUUUUUUUUUGUUGCGAAUAUUACGUGUUUUGCUACUUUUUAUUUGAAAAUACGUCAAUAAUACGUGAGAUAGAGGAGUUAGUGAACCAUUAAAGUUAAAAUAAUGGAACUAGUACCCAGUAUGUGUUGUUUCUGUGUUGCUUUUCAAAGUGAUAACUAUGGCUCGAUGUGUGGCACCCGGAUGCGUGAGCGUUCGGUUAUUGAUACCUGGGCUCGAGUCCAACUCGAAUUAUAACAACAUAUCCCACAAAUUAUCAUUCCAUCGAUCCCCAAGGGAUGUGACUAUUCGGAAGAAAUGGCUUCGAUUCUUUGGACAGGACCUAAACAGCAAUACUAAAAACAUGUAUAUUCGCUCGCUUCACUUCAGUCCAGAUUGUUUCAUUCAUAUCGAUGUACUUCCAUAUCGUCGAAAACUGAUCCAAACAGCUGUUCCUACUGUCAGAAAGGCCAACGAUUCUCAUGCCUCGGGAAAUUAAAACCGGAAGGCUAGUCAAAAGGUCUUGAUUGACAUCAAGCAAAAGUUGAAUCCAUUAAAAACAUCCGUAACAUCCGCAGAAUCAGCCCGGUUUUCUAAUGGGAGGAAACAUGACUAUCCCGAGAGGGAUAUUCCGUCAAAGGGAAUCGGGAGCAGCACCAUCAACAUCUCUAAUGAGAAACCUAACGAUUCGGCCGGUUAUGAUAGUUUAAUUCAAGCACUGUGGCAAGAAAUAUUGAAGAACUACAGAAAGCUUCAGGAAGCUAAAAUUCAA
This is a long non-coding RNA of Toxorhynchites rutilus septentrionalis, 895 nucleotides long. RefSeq lists it as uncharacterized. Lineage: Eukaryota; Metazoa; Arthropoda; Insecta; Diptera; Culicidae. The transcript has 3 exons. The record is from RefSeq and is a predicted model, not a curated record.